GAAUUAUAGUUAAAAGCAGUUUCCAUAUAACAACAUAACUACUGGAAUAACAAAAACAGACCUCUGCUGUACACAAUGUUAAACUAAUACUAUAUGUCCUGAGCGAUAACCAUUAUAUUUAUAUGAUUUAUAAAUGAGCAAAAAAGCUAAUCGAUCAAAAUUUGCCGUCUGGAAUAUUCCAUUUAUGUGUUUUGUGGAUUAAAGGCAUGUAUCAUUACCAUGGCAACAAAAAACCCUGGUACACAACGUACAUUCACAACUUUAUGAUGAACUAAAUUGGUAGUUUGUGAGAUAAAUUCACGUGCAUGUCUCACAUGUAACAACUUUCACAACAUUCGUGUUAUCAACCACAUUAAACCACAAAAAGUCAAACAUUCUACGCAUUGAAAACAAAUGAUAAUGAACUUGGUUAAAAUACACGUGAGAGCGUCGUAUCAAAGCACGGAAUAAUCACAUUUUCAUCAGUUCACUUAGCUACGCCAGUCUGACAACAAACAAUAUAUCUUUACCGAUACUAAGAAGAGUUAGUGGAGCUGUGCAACAGAGCGAAAUGGGAUUUUCUCUGGAAACAACGGAAACGUCAAACAAAUGUUUUCACUGAUCCAAAAAUUGCAAAAGCAUCGUCUCAAGGAUCAAAGGUGUGAUCCUGAAAUUAUUAAAAAAGCAGACGAGAAUCGACUCUUCAAAAGGAUUAUUUACUAUCAAUCCAAGAGAAUGGAAGACCAACGUUGCAACAUGUCGUCCAACGUAGCAAAGGAUCAGCUCUAAGAAUGUUAUUAAAGAGAUAUAAACAGCUAAGGUUAAUCAUUUGCCUCGUCACAUUUUGACCACAAUAGUCAGAGAUGUCAAUGAACAAACUUACUUAUAUCAGGUAGACGUUUAGUACAUCACCUGUAAAGAGAGGAUUGAGCUGCUAAGAUGUGGUAACGCUAAAAUCAGUUACUCCAAAGAGAUUGUCCCAUAUUACAAAUCUUGGAAUGCCAAUAUAAAAC
Xenia sp. Carnegie-2017 is the source of this 992-nucleotide long non-coding RNA. RefSeq lists it as uncharacterized. The transcript has 2 exons. Lineage: Eukaryota; Metazoa; Cnidaria; Anthozoa; Malacalcyonacea; Xeniidae. The record is from RefSeq and is a predicted model, not a curated record.